GAUAGAACAUUAUGCCUGGAAUGGUUUAUGUUUCAAAUGAUUUAUCGCCAUAGGAUGGGACUGCGGCCUAUCAGUUUGUUGGUGAGGUAAUGGCCCACCAAGACUAUUACAGGUACGGGCUCUGAGAGGAGUAGCCCGGAGAUGGGUACUGAGACACGGACCCAGGCCCUAUGGGGCGCAGCAGGCGAGAAAACUUUGCAAUGUGCGAAAGCACGACAAGGUUAAUCCGAGUGGUUUCUGCUAAAGAAACCUUUUGUCAGUCCUAGAAACACUAACGAAUAAGGGGUGGGCAAGUUCUGGUGUCAGCCGCCGCGGUAAAACCAGCACCUCAAGUGGUCAGGAUGAUUAUUGGGCCUAAAGCAUCCGUAGCUCGUUUUGUAAGUUUUCGGUUAAAUCCAUGCGCUUAACGUAUGGGCUGCCGGGAAUACUGCAUAACUAGGAAGUGGGAGAGGUAGACGGUACUCGGGAGGAAGGGGUAAAAUCCUUUGAUCUCUUGAUGACCACCUGUGGCGAAGGCGGUCUGCCAGAACACGUUCGACGGUGAGGGAUGAAAGCUGGGGGAGCAAACCGGAUUAGAUACCCGGGUAGUCCCAGCUGUAAACUAUGCAAACUCAGUGAUGCAUUGGCUUAUGGCCAAUGCAGUGCUGCAGGGAAGCCGUUAAGUUUGCCGCCUGGGAAGUACGUACGCAAGUAUGAAACUUAAAGGAAUUGGCGGGGGAGCACCACAAGGGGUGAAGCCUGCGGUUC
Molecule: ribosomal RNA, 747 nt
Filed under: uncultured archaeon
Lineage: Archaea
Description: bacterial SSU rRNA
Rfam family: Archaeal small subunit ribosomal RNA
Source: RNAcentral